AUACGGAGGGUGCAAGCGUUACUCGGAAUCACUGGGCGUAAAGCGCGCGCAGGCGGCUAUUUAAGUUGGAUGUGAAAGCCUACGGCUCAACCGUAGAACUGCAUCCAAAACUAUUUAGCUAGAGUGUGGGAGAGGAAGAUGGAAUUAGUUGUGUAGGGGUAAAAUCCGUAGAGAUAACUAGGAAUACCAAAAGCGAAGGCAAUCUUCUGGAACACUGCUGACGCUGAGGCGCGAAAGCGUGGGGAGCAAACAGGAUUAGAAACCCUAGUAGUCC
This 274-nucleotide ribosomal RNA is filed under the name uncultured bacterium. Its description in RNAcentral is "partial 16S ribosomal RNA". It matches the Rfam family "Bacterial small subunit ribosomal RNA", at positions 523 to 796 of the family's 1533-position model. The record is from RNAcentral.